This 500-nucleotide long non-coding RNA is filed under the name Rosa chinensis. RNAcentral describes it as "sRNA RchiOBHm_Chr2g0087731". Lineage: Eukaryota; Viridiplantae; Streptophyta; Magnoliopsida; Rosales; Rosaceae. The record is from RNAcentral.
AUGUGUGAUGUCUUCAAGUUUUCGUGUAACUCGUCGCUUGAGAUAACAUUCUAGAUAAGUAGUGCUCUCUGAUUCAAUUGUACUUUAAAUCCAUGAACAGUACUUAACAAUGUAUGUUUAACUUUUAUAUAGUAUAUUUUACAUGACAGAUUAGAUUCUUCUCCUCUGAAAGUUGUUUAAGGUCUUCUUUUCAACUGUUUAGGCCUGCUUUACAGUUUGCACAUGUGAUCUUCCCCUUAAUAAUUAGGGAUUAAAGGUUAACCAAGAUCGGUUUCACUUGGUCUUGUUAAUUCGUGGAUCAUCCUAUACAUGCGUAGCUAGCCAUUGCAAUCAUCGAUCUGUGUUCUAGCUGCACUAGUGUCGGUUGAUAAAGUGACCCUUUGUUCAGAUUCCAUUGGUAUCACCAUCGAUCAAUCCUCAUUACCAACCUCAUGACUUUGAAUAUUUCUCGUCUGCUUUCAAGCUUUCAUCUACAUAAUAAAUCUGACCAAUAUUAAGCC